RNAcentral lists this transfer RNA (72 nucleotides) under Phrynosoma platyrhinos (Desert horned lizard). RNAcentral's name for it is "tRNA-OTHER". Lineage: Eukaryota; Metazoa; Chordata; Lepidosauria; Squamata; Phrynosomatidae. The record is from RNAcentral.
GCCUGCAUGGUGUAGUGGUUUGAGCACUGGACUAUGAUUCUGGAAACCAGGGUUCGAUUCCCCACUCAACCA